This is a long non-coding RNA of Nicotiana tabacum (common tobacco), 2867 nucleotides long. RefSeq lists it as uncharacterized. Lineage: Eukaryota; Viridiplantae; Streptophyta; Magnoliopsida; Solanales; Solanaceae. The record is from RefSeq and is a predicted model, not a curated record.
UCAUUUUUUGAAUAGUUAAAAAAAAGAAAAAAAAAAGUAAAAGUCUGUUUGAAGAAGAAAAAAAGGCAGUUGCGUGCGGUGGGCAGCUACAUCCUCAAUCCAGUUGUCUUGCAAAUCGCUCCACUUAGGGUACAUCUCAGCACUUGCCGGAAAAAGGGAACAGGAAAAGUGUGAUGGGGAUUAUAAGGAGCAGUUUCUCAUUCAUAUCAGGAACUGUUUGCGGAAUAUACAUAGCUCAGAACUACAACGUCCCCAACAUUCGAAAGCUUAUUGAGAACGCUUUAUUCAAGGCCAAAGAUGUCGAAGAGAAAUAUCGCAAGCCCCCCAAGCCUGGCGAUCGCCUUUAGAUUUCACUCUCCAUAUUUCAGGUUAACCAUUCCUAAAUCCCCAAUUCCUUCGUGAAUACUUAUUUCUAAUGUCCAUAACAGUUCAACCGAGACAAUCAAAAAUUGUGUGACCUUUAUAGCAUGCUAGAUUGAAAUCUUCAAGUAAAUUUUACCUGUUAAUGAUGAUUUUUCGCUCGCCUUUUUACUUGACUUUCUCUAUAUCAAACUGUGCGCCAGAGGAAUAAUUUCGCCCUUUGGGCCGACCGAUCAGUUGAAUGCGUACUCAAUCUUCAAUUAGUAUCACUUAAAUUUGUGUAAUUAUGUUUAUGUGGCGCUCGAUGUUCCAAUUAAAUCUCUCAAGUUUUAGCAGGAUUUUAGACUGAUUGCCUUUCCUUUUAUAGGAAAAGAUCUGAAUGGUAGACCAGUGUUCACUACCAAUCCUUUGAGAUAGAGACUGAGAGCUACAAUAAUACAAUUUUAUAACAAAAUUUUCCUGUUAAAUAUUGUGUUGCUAUGCAUCCAUUCUGGUUCAUGGUUUAUCAGCUAGAAGUUUUGUUUGUAAUGGUGAAUAGUUGCAUAAUUUGUCCGGUACGUACAAUUGGCUGCUUGCAUAUUGUAAUCUUUUAGUCGGCUACCUUUAGACCUUUUUACAUUGAAAUUUGCACCAUACCAAGGAACUGUGGAAUGUUUGUUUGGCUGCGGAUUCUAGGACAUUUUCUAAUUGGGACUUAGCCAUCUAGCUUUUUGGUUGAUCGUUUGAAAAUACUAAGCAGAACACAUUUGGAAGUUCUUUUCUGUGAUGUCUGACACUGGUCCGGCAGCUAUUACCUAUUUGGCGCUGUUCCUCAGUGUUCUGAAGAGAUUGCAUUUUCUGGGAGGUAAGAACAGUCUAAGUGUAAUGUACCUUUGAAUGAUUCUGAAGAGGUUUUGAAAAAUAAUUUUUGUAGGAUUAUAGUGUCUGGAAAAAGAAAAACUAUCUUCUGAAACAGUUAUGUGGAAGGAUGUUUUUCUGAAAACAGAAACUAAAUAGCAACAUGAUUUUGCAAAAGUAUCACUUAGACCCAUGUCACUCAUUCCGACGCCAUUAGAAAUUGGGGACAAUUGAUGAUAAAAGUGCGCUUCUGUUUUCUUAAAGGCUUCUCUAGCGUAUGGAAUUGUGGCUAUAUCUGGUGCAUUGGCUACUUCCUGCGGAGUUGCUUCUUAUUCCCUUGGUACUUCACAGCACUUAUAGCUUGUUUUGAGAUCCAGAAAGAUCAGAUUCCUAGAGUCAAAAACAAGUGUUUGCUUAAUUUGUUUCUGUGGUGUAAAAGUAGUCUCAUAGAAAACAUUGAUCAAUAUAUGGAUUUCUUGGAAUUGUUAGGGAAAUGUUGUAACUAACUGCAUGGAUACUCCCAGCAGCAGCUAUGUGUAAUUCUGUGGUACCAUCUUGGUACUAGUUAAUAAAACCUUACCUUAUCAACAACAACAAAAAAAGGGGUCAAAGGUUGCAAAUAAAAUGCAUUUGAAGCCGUAUGUUUGUUAAAAUGAUCACAUGCAUAUGUAGUUUACUCGUUCCUUUGAAUUGCCAGAUAUAGGUGUAUGAAUACCGUGGCAUAGAUCUCCACAACAGUUGAUUGUAGAAAGGAGUUUAUCCAGCUUAUCUUAACAUGUUAUAGUAUUUUUCAGGAUCAAAUGGGUUUUAGCAUGUUCAGUUAAUGCUCAGGUUAGCUCCUAAGAAAGGCUAGUAUGUCUUCAUGACGUUUCAAUUCUAAGCUCUGAGAGGGCAGUUCCAUUUCCAAGGUGAAACUAACUAAUUUUAUGAUUGGCCUCGAUUCUUUGUUCAAAGAUAAAAUUUUCGAAAACCAUACAUGUUGCCACCCAGAACCUACACUUGGAUUCAACGUCAGAUUGUGCUUCCUCAUUACUUUAUAGCCCCAAGACAAUUGCUCUUUAUCUCUCUUAGCAGCAUAUUGUCUGCAUAGCCUCCAUAGUGUGUGCAAGCAUUCUUGGAGACGUUCUCAACAUUUUUGAACAAUUUACUUACCAACACCUGAUUCAUCCUUUAAGCACAAUUUAUUACCGACCUCAUGAUACGUGUCCCAAUGUUUUUUCCCUGAAUAGCAUAACCAUAUAUAAGUCUGUCCCUCGGCCUUGAGCUGUAAAAAAGAAAGAUAUUUUUUUGGUCCUCUGGUGCUAGCUGGAUCUGAUGAUAUCAUUGAUAGGCACACUGGAAGCUUAGUAGUUCGCACCCAGAUGUUGCAUCAACAAUCGGCUAUUUGGAUAGGGAAAACAAUCCUUCAAUCCGUACAGUGGACCUAUUGAAGUAUGAAGUAGCAGACUCCAUGCUGUUGGAUUUAACAAGUUAUUUUGAUGGGCUACCCUUUCGUGGUUUUAUUUAUUGUAAUUGAUAUUGUUAUUAUUUAGGAACCGAUGUCUGUUUUAAGUGGUCGUAUAGCAUUGUUUUAUAUCUGGCUGAUCCCUCUUCUGAAAAUGUAAUGUUAAACAACGAGUUUCAUCCUCGGGGGCAUUACAGAAGCUACUUGAACAAUGUUUCGAUCGCAA